Molecule: ribosomal RNA, 771 nt
Filed under: Neisseria polysaccharea
Lineage: Bacteria; Pseudomonadati; Pseudomonadota; Betaproteobacteria; Neisseriales; Neisseriaceae
Description: bacterial SSU rRNA
Rfam family: Bacterial small subunit ribosomal RNA
Source: RNAcentral
AGGCCGGGAAGCUUUCCAUGCAAGUCGGACGGCAGCACAGAGAAGCUUGCUUCUUGGGUGGCGAGUGGCGAACGGGUGAGUAAUAUAUCGGAACGUACCGAGUAGUGGGGGAUAACUAAUCGAAAGAUUAGCUAAUACCGCAUAUUCUCUGAGGAGGAAAGCUGGGGACCUUCGGGCCUAGCGCUAUUUGAGCGGCCGAUAUCUGAUUAGCUAGUUGGUGGGGUAAAGGCCUACCAAGGCGACGAUCAGUAGCGGGUCUGAGAGGAUGAUCCGCCACACUGGGACUGAGACACGGCCCAGACUCCUACGGGAGGCAGCAGUGGGGAAUUUUGGACAAUGGGCGCAAGCCUGAUCCAGCCAUGCCGCGUGUAUGAAGAAGGCCUUCGGGUUGUAAAGUACUUUUGUCAGGGAAGAAAAGCAUAGUGCUAAUAUCACUGUGUGAUGACGGUACCUGAAGAAUAAGCACCGGCUAACUACGUGCCAGCAGCCGCGGUAAUACGUAGGGUGCGAGCGUUAAUCGGAAUUACUGGGCGUAAAGCGAGCGCAGACGGUUAGUUAAGCAAGAUGUGAAAUCCCCGGGCUCAACCUGGGAACUGCGUUUUGAACUGGCUAGCUAGAGUGUGUCAGAGGGGGGUAGAAUUCCACGUGUAGCAGUGAAAUGCGUAGAGAUGUGGAGGAAUACCGAUGGCGAAGGCAGCCCCCUGGGAUAACACUGACGUUCAUGCUCGAAAGCGUGGGUAGCAACAGGAUUAGAUACCGUGGGUAGUCCAA